This 254-nucleotide ribosomal RNA is filed under the name uncultured bacterium. RNAcentral's name for it is "partial 16S ribosomal RNA". It matches the Rfam family "Bacterial small subunit ribosomal RNA", at positions 524 to 776 of the family's 1533-position model. The record is from RNAcentral.
UACAGAGGUCUCAAGCGUUGUUCGGAUUCAUUGGGCGUAAAGAGCUCGUAGGCGGUGUGUCGCGUCGGCCGUGAAAACCUGCAGCUUAACUGUGGGCGUGCGGUCGAUACGGGCAUCACUGGAGUUCGGCAGGGGAGACUGGAAUUCCUGGUGUAGCGGUGAAAUGCGCAGAUAUCAGGAGGAACACCGGUGGCGAAGGCGGGUCUCUGGGCCGAUACUGACGCUGAGGAGCGAAAGCGUGGGGAGCGAACAGG